UGCCAAUAAGUGUGUGGCAGAGCAACACGAUGAUGUUCAUCCGAAAUCCGACCAACAUCGAGGACCAUGAGGGCAGUGGCAGUGGUAAUGCUCUGGUCUUUGGUUCCUGAGGGUGCAGCUCAGGAGGCAUGUUGACUAUGAAGAGUGACAUCCAAGUGCUUGAGAUGCGCUUAUGAUCAUGAAUGUGAGGGUGAAGGAGAGACAGAUUCUGAAUAUGCAGGAGGGGG
Molecule: long non-coding RNA, 227 nt
Organism: Sinocyclocheilus anshuiensis
Lineage: Eukaryota; Metazoa; Chordata; Actinopteri; Cypriniformes; Cyprinidae
Exons: 3
Source: RefSeq, a predicted model, not a curated record